GAAUUCCGGGAUUUGAUCGUUUUGAGCUCCAAAUUUGAAUUGGAUUGGGGCCUAUAAAUACCCCACCCAUUCAGCACUGAAAAGAUACAGACCUACACCGAAAUCUUGAUCUUUUCUGUGAUUCUAAGAGCUCAAAAGUGUUGUAAAGCCUUUAAGCCUCCUCCUUCUGUUCUUCAAGUUUUUGAGUUGUAAAGUGAGGAGAGAAAGGUCUGUAAAGGUUGUCUCCUGAGCCUGUCAAAAGGAGAGAAACUGUAAAAGGUCAGUUGGCCUUCGCCUAUUGAAGGAAGGCCUCUAGUUGACGUCGGUGACCUCGUCGGUGGAGGAAGCCAAAAGUGGAGUAGGUUAAGACUGACCGAACCACUCUAAAUCUCUGGUUUGCGUUUAUUUUGA
This 390-nucleotide long non-coding RNA is filed under the name Musa acuminata (dwarf banana). RNAcentral's name for it is "long non-coding RNA (MACU_LNC005303)". Lineage: Eukaryota; Viridiplantae; Streptophyta; Magnoliopsida; Zingiberales; Musaceae. The record is from RNAcentral.